Molecule: ribosomal RNA, 492 nt
Filed under: uncultured bacterium
Lineage: Bacteria
Description: partial 16S ribosomal RNA
Rfam family: Bacterial small subunit ribosomal RNA
Source: RNAcentral
AGUGAACGCUGGCGGUAGGCCUAACACAUGCAAGUCGAACGGCAGCACAGUAAGAGCUUGCUCUUACGGGUGGCGAGUGGCGGACGGGUGAGGAAUACAUCGGAAUCUACUUUUUCGUGGGGGAUAACGUAGGGAAACUUACGCUAAUACCGCAUACGACCUACGGGUGAAAGCAGGGGAUCUUCGGACCUUGCGCGAUUGAAUGAGCCGAUGUCGGAUUAGCUAGUUGGCGGGGUAAAGGCCCACCAAGGCGACGAUCCGUAGCUGGUCUGAGAGGAUGAUCAGCCACACUGGAACUGAGACACGGCCCAGACUCCUACGGGAGGCAGCAGUGGGGAAUAUUGGACAAUGGGCGCAAGCCUGAUCCAGCCGUACCGCGUGGGUGAAGAAGGCCUUCGGGUUGUAAAGCCCUUUUGUUGGGAAAGAAAAGCAGCAGGUUAAUACCCCGCUGUUCUGACGGUACCCAAAGAAUAAGCACCGGCUAACUUCGUG